GACGAACGCUGGCGGCGUGCUUAACACAUGCAAGUCGAACGAUGAACCCGGAGCUUGCUCCGGUGGAUUAGUGGCGAACGGGUGAGUAACACGUGAGUAACCUGCCCUUGACUCUGGGAUAACUGCGGGAAACUGUAGCUAAUACCGGAUACGACCCUCGGCGGCAUCGCCAGGGGGUGGAAAGAAUUUCGGUCAAGGAUGGACUCGCGGCCUAUCAGCUAGUUGGUGAGGUAACGGCUCACCAAGGCGACGACGGGUAGCCGGCCUGAGAGGGUGACCGGCCACACUGGGACUGAGACACUGCCCAGACUCCUACGAGAGGCAGCAGUGGGGAAUAUUGCACAAUGGGCGCAAGCCUGAUGCAGCGACGCCGCGUGAGGGAUGACGGCCUUCGGGUUGUAAACCUCUUUCAGCACCGACGAAGCGCAAGUGACGGUAGGUGCAGAAGAAGGACCGGCCAACUACGUGCCAGCCGCCGCGGUAA
Molecule: ribosomal RNA, 484 nt
Filed under: uncultured bacterium
Lineage: Bacteria
Description: partial 16S ribosomal RNA
Rfam family: Bacterial small subunit ribosomal RNA
Source: RNAcentral